RNAcentral lists this ribosomal RNA (477 nucleotides) under uncultured bacterium. RNAcentral describes it as "bacterial SSU rRNA". It matches the Rfam family "Bacterial small subunit ribosomal RNA", at positions 365 to 832 of the family's 1533-position model. The record is from RNAcentral.
UUCGCAAUGCCCGAAAGGGUGACGAAGCGACGCCGCGUGUGGGAAGAAGGCCUUCGGGUUGUAAACCACUGUCGGGAGUUAAGAAAUGCAAGGAUAUUAAUAGUGUCUUUGUUUGACUAAGGCUCCGGAGGAAGCCACGGCUAACUCUGUGCCAGCAGCCGCGGUAAUACAGAGGCGGCAAGCGUUGUUCGGAAUUAUUGGGCGUAAAGAGCACGUAGGCGGCUAUGUAAGUCGGUUGUGAAAGCCUUCCGCUCAACGGAAGAACAGCAUCCGAUACUACAUGGCUUGAGUGUGGGAGGGGAGAGUGGAACUUCUGGUGGAGCGGUGAAAUGCGUAGAUAUCAGAAGGAACGCCGGCGGCGAAAGCGGCUCUCUGGCCCAUAACUGACGCUGAGUGUGCGAAAGCUAGGGGAGCAAACGGGAUUAGAUACCCCGGUAGUCCUAGCCGUAAACGACGGGCACUAAGUAGAGGGGUUUU